This 397-nucleotide long non-coding RNA is filed under the name Bos taurus (domestic cattle). RNAcentral's name for it is "long non-coding RNA NONBTAT026249". The record is from RNAcentral. Lineage: Eukaryota; Metazoa; Chordata; Mammalia; Artiodactyla; Bovidae.
UAACUUUUCUGCAGGCCAAGAGCCUAAUAGGUUAUAAACACACCCUUCUGGCCUAGAGAUAGACAAGCAAAUAAACAAAAAACCCUUCCCUCUUAUAAGCCCUGAAAAUCAAAGAUCUAACUAAUACUGCCUUCCUUUGAAAAAUAUCAAAAUGGGGAUAUAGUUUUAAAUUUUAAAAUAAUUUAAACUCUAAUCUAAGCUAGAUUUUUCUAAUUAUUUAUUGUUUAUAUUUCAAUAGAUACAAAUCUUGACUCUAACUCUGGAACCCAAGAACUCAUCAAAGAGUUUUCUGUGAUGCAGAAAUACCUCCAUCUGCUGGAACUUUAGGUGUCUGUUAAUUCUAUAAUCCUGGAAACUAAAAAUCCAACUUUUUUGGUGGUGGGGUUAGAUAUUAUUC